AUUGAACGCUGGCGGCAGGCCUAACACAUGCAAGUCGAACGGUAGCACAGAGAGCUUGCUCUCGGGUGACGAGUGGCGGACGGGUGAGUAAUGUCUGGGAAACUGCCCGAUGGAGGGGGAUAACUACUGGAAACGGUAGCUAAUACCGCAUAACGUCGCAAGACCAACGUGGGGGACCUUCGGGCCUCACACCAUCGGAUGUGCCCAGAUGGGAUUAGCUAGUAGGUGGGGUAAUGGCUCACCUAGGCGACGAUCCCUAGCUGGUCUGAGAGGAUGACCAGCCACACUGGAACUGAGACACGGUCCAGACUCCUACGGGAGGCAGCAGUGGGGAAUAUUGCACAAUGAGCGCAAGCCUGAUGCAGCCAUGCCGCGUGUAUGAAGAAGGCCUUCGGGUUGUAAAGUACUUUCAGCGGGGAGGAAGGCGGUGAAGUUAAUAGCUUCACCGAUUGACGUUACCCGCAGAAGAAGCGCCGGCUAACUCCGUGCCAGCCGCCGCAGUAA
This 504-nucleotide ribosomal RNA is filed under the name uncultured bacterium. Its description in RNAcentral is "partial 16S ribosomal RNA". It matches the Rfam family "Bacterial small subunit ribosomal RNA", at positions 30 to 523 of the family's 1533-position model. The record is from RNAcentral.